Molecule: ribosomal RNA, 372 nt
Filed under: uncultured Glomeromycotina
Lineage: Eukaryota; Fungi; Glomeromycota
Description: LSU rRNA
Source: RNAcentral
UUGAAAGGGAAACGAUUGAAGUCAGUCGUACCUGCGGGUAAUCAGCCUUUUGGGUGUGAUUAUGUGGAGCGUGAGGAGUUAAUCACCCUCAUCUUUGCAUAUUCGUGCACUUUGGGUGUACUUGCUCGUGUGGUAGGUUAACAUCAAUUUUGAUCAUCAUAAAAUGAUUGGAGGAAUGUAGCUUCGAUCCCGUAUUGAAGUGUUAUAGCCUUUGGUAGAUGUGAUGAUCGGGAUUGAGGAUUGCAACGGAUACCCUUCGGGGCUACCCGUCUGAUCUCUGAAAGUUGCUCUGGUGCUGAAAGCUUGCUUAUGGUAUCAAAGUUGACGUUCAAUAGGUUAGAACGGGAUAAAUUCGUUAAGGAUGUUGACGUA